AGAGUCUUUUGGCUAAGACCAAAUGCAAUGUGGCUACAAUUAAGCAUAAUGUUUGUUCUUACCAGUUUAAUACCUGAUAUGUUCUCUGUGUGAGAACUAUCUAUUAAAUGGAUUUUUGAAGCAGGCAGCUGAAAUAGGCACUUGCUCCAUUCACUUCAUGCACAAACUGGUAUUGCAGUGCUUCUAGGGAAGUAAUCACU
Pelodiscus sinensis (Chinese soft-shelled turtle) is the source of this 200-nucleotide small nuclear RNA. It matches the Rfam family "U2 spliceosomal RNA". From Rfam's summary of the family: U2 is a small nuclear RNA (snRNA) component of the spliceosome (involved in pre-mRNA splicing). Complementary binding between U2 snRNA (in an area lying towards the 5' end but 3' to hairpin I) and the branchpoint sequence (BPS) of the intron results the bulging out of an unpaired adenosine, on the BPS, which initiates a nucleophilic attack at the intronic 5' splice site, thus starting the first of two transesterification reactions that mediate splicing. The record is from Rfam. Lineage: Eukaryota; Metazoa; Chordata; Testudines; Trionychidae.